Molecule: Y RNA, 102 nt
Filed under: Propithecus coquereli (Coquerel's sifaka)
Lineage: Eukaryota; Metazoa; Chordata; Mammalia; Primates; Indriidae
Description: Y RNA (ENSPCOG00000012176.1)
Rfam family: Y RNA
About the family: Y RNAs are components of the Ro ribonucleoprotein particle (Ro RNP), in association with Ro60 and La proteins.
Source: Rfam by way of RNAcentral
GGUUGGUCUGAGUGCAGUGGUGUUUACAAUUAAUUGAUCACAACCAGUUACAGAUUCCUUUGUUCCUUCUCCACUCCCACUCCCUCACUUAACCAGCCUUUA